Molecule: ribosomal RNA, 216 nt
Filed under: Glomeromycotina sp.
Lineage: Eukaryota; Fungi; Glomeromycota
Description: partial small subunit ribosomal RNA
Rfam family: Eukaryotic small subunit ribosomal RNA (bases 40-216)
Source: RNAcentral
GGGUAAGUAGGUUGGUCGUGCCACCGGUACGUACUGGUCUCACUGAUUCCUCCUUCCUGAAGAACCGUAAUGCCAUUAAUUUGGUUUUGCGGGGAAACAGGACUGUUACUUUGAAAAAAUUAGAGUGUUUAAAGCAAGCUAACGCUCGAAUACAUUAGCAUGGAACAAUGAAAUAGGACGAUCGAUCCUAUUUUGUUGGUUUCUAGGAUUGACGUA